Non-coding RNA from Pelobates cultripes (western spadefoot toad), 600 nucleotides. The record is from the annotation of a GenBank genome assembly. Lineage: Eukaryota; Metazoa; Chordata; Amphibia; Anura; Pelobatidae.
GUAAUUAUUAUUUCAAAUAAAUCUUAAAAAACUGCUUGAGCAGAUGGUAAAUCAAAAUGAUAUGAUUAGAGAUAAUUGCCUCUUGAGUUUAUACCCCCGAAAUAUAUUUAUUCUGUGUUUAUUCCAGGUAUCUAUACCCCAAAUAUAUAUUUAUCCUAUGUUGAUCCCAGGUAUCUAUAGUCCAACAAAAAUAUUUAUCCUGUGUUGAUCCCAGGUAUCUAUAGUCCAAAAUAUAUUUAUCCUGUGCUUAUCCCAGGUAUCUAUACCCAACAUAUAUUUAUCCUGUGUUUAUCCCAGGUAUCUAUACCCACAAAUAUAUUUAUCCUGUGCUUAUCCCAGGUAUCUAUACCCACAAUUAUAUUUAUCCUGUGUUUAUGCCAUGUAUCUAUACCCAACAUAUAUUUAUCCUGUGUUUAUCCCAGGUAUCUAUACCCAACAUAUAUUUAUCCUGUGCUUAUCCCAGGUAUCUAUACCCACAAUUAUAUUUAUCCUGUGUUUAUCCCAGGUAUCUAUACCCACAAUUAUAUUUAUCCUGUGUUUAUCCCAUGUAUCUAUACCCAACAUAUAUUUAUCCUGCGUUUAUCCCAUGUAUCUAUACCC